GUCUCUACAUUAAUUCAAACUAAACCUUUUUCAUUUUCGUCUUGCAGGCUGGCGUUUGUAAGAACGAACCUGUCAGACCGGAUAGUAGAGGGUAGAAUAGGUUAUCUUUUCUGUCUUUUACCUCUCUCUCCGUCUAUCCCUCUAUCUUUUUAGAUAUAGGUUUUAGCAUAGACUGAAGAUGAGGGUUCGUUCACAAGUGUUUCCACGUAAGACGAAAAAGAAAAGAAUUAGUUCCGAGGCCGUUUUGAAGACUUGGUCUUUAAAGCCCCAUACCUUAUGCCUUCCCGCAGAAGGCUCCUUCCCGCAGAAGGCGCCUUCCCGCAAGAAAAGCUCCUUUCCGCAGGAGGCUUAAAGUACGGGGCUUUCAAUACAAAGUCUUAUAAAAAAGCCCUGGCACUAAAACUUUUCUUUUUCGUCUCACGUGGCAACACUGAACCCUCAUCUUCAGUCUAUGCUAAAACCUCCAUCUAAAACGAUAGCGGGACAGACAGAGAGAGAGGUUAAAGACAGAAAGAACAACCUUUUCUAUCCUCUGUCCAGUCCAACUGGUUCGUUCUUACAAACGUCAACCUGCAAGACGAAAGCAAAAAAAAGUUAGUUUGUAGGUAA
Poecilia latipinna (sailfin molly) is the source of this 609-nucleotide long non-coding RNA. RefSeq lists it as uncharacterized. The record is from RefSeq and is a predicted model, not a curated record. NCBI's taxonomy places the organism in Eukaryota, Metazoa, Chordata, Actinopteri, Cyprinodontiformes, Poeciliidae. The transcript is spliced from 3 exons.